UACAUUUGCACCCUCAUACAUAAUAAUCAUUUAAAUAAUAUUGGAAUG
This 48-nucleotide non-coding RNA is filed under the name unclassified sequences. The record is from Rfam.